This 255-nucleotide ribosomal RNA is filed under the name uncultured bacterium. RNAcentral describes it as "partial 16S ribosomal RNA". It matches the Rfam family "Bacterial small subunit ribosomal RNA", at positions 99 to 354 of the family's 1533-position model. The record is from RNAcentral.
CGGACGGGUGAGUAACGCGUGGAUAACCUGCCGUAUACCGGGGGAUAACACUUAGAAAUAGGUGCUAAUACCGCAUAAGCGCGCGGCUCCGCAUGGGGCAGUGUGAAAAAUUCCGGUGGUAUACGAUGGAUCCGCGUCUGAUUAGCUAGUUGGCGGGGUAACGGCCCACCAAGGCAGCGAUCAGUAGCCGGCCUGAGAGGGUGGACGGCCACAUUGGGACUGAGACACGGCCCAAACUCCUACGGGAGGCAGCAG